GUGUCAGCAGCCGCGGUAAUACCGGCAGCCCGAGUGAUGGCCGAUCUUAUUGGGCCUAAAGCGUCCGUAGCUGGCCGCACAAGUCCAUCGGAAAAUCCACCCGCCCAACGGGUGGGCGUCCGGUGGAAACUGUGUGGCCUGGGACCGGAAGGCGCGACGGGUACGUCCGGGGUAGGAGUGAAAUCCUGUAAUCCUGGACGGACCGCCGAUGGCGAAAGCACGUCGCGAGGACGGAUCCGACAGUGAGGGACGAAAGCCAGGGUCUCGAACCGGAUUAGAUACCCUCGUAGUCC
This 293-nucleotide ribosomal RNA is filed under the name uncultured prokaryote. RNAcentral describes it as "partial 16S ribosomal RNA". It matches the Rfam family "Archaeal small subunit ribosomal RNA", at positions 455 to 747 of the family's 1478-position model. The record is from RNAcentral.